This is a long non-coding RNA of Daphnia carinata, 4112 nucleotides long. RefSeq lists it as uncharacterized. NCBI's taxonomy places the organism in Eukaryota, Metazoa, Arthropoda, Branchiopoda, Diplostraca, Daphniidae. The record is from RefSeq and is a predicted model, not a curated record. The transcript is spliced from 21 exons.
GUGCAGUCUGCCUUCCUCGCUCGAUUUUGCUUCUUGACCUCGUGGCUUUGGCGAUUUUUGGCGUUUAAUUUACUCAUUUUUCAACGCUUUUCAAGAUUAGGAGGUGGAAGUCGUACUUGCCAUGAGUUAUUAAACAGUUUGGAAAAGGACAUUUUUCCAUGGAAUGCCCACAAGGAGGAGGUGGGAGUCGAGCAUUUUAGUGUUCAUUUCCAACCAAGAAGUGGUCCAUGUAGCAAGGGAUUUUCCACAAGGAGGGGUCAUUGGUGGCAGCAAGUGUUACAAUUGUCAUGAAGUUGGCCACACCUCAAAAGGCUGUACGAAUCUAUUCGUGAAUUGACGAAAAACAGAAAGUCGCGUGAACAAUACAUUCCGGAAGCUGUGACAAGCGAUGAAAAGGAACUGUUUAAGUGGGAUCGUCUGUGGGGAACGCUUUAACAAUUUUGAUAAAGUCGUUCUCCAUCGAAUCCAGGUUACAGGAAAAGAUGUACCUCAAUACAUAAAAUCACUCGAAAAAGGCGGCCUGCGCCCACUACUACUUCAAAACAUUAAGAAUUCUGGCUACAUAAAACCAACACCUGUACAGAAAGCUUCAGUUGCAGUUAGUCCUUGUUCUUGCCAAAAGAUAUUUGAUUGCUUGUGCUGUCACGGGCUCCGGCAAAACGGCGGCGUACUUGGUACCGGUUAUGAACAUAUUGUUAGAACAAGGUGUUGCUGGUGCGUCGCCGCCAUGGUCCAAAAGCCAGAAGUUGUAAUUGUCGCACUUACUCGUGAAUUUUCGAUUCGAAUUCACCGCGGGUCGUGUAAAUUCUCCUACAAUUCGGUUUUAAAAUCUGUCAUUAUAUAUGAAGGUACUGUCGCGAGCCAUCAGCGGUCAAAUCUUCAAGCUGGGUGCAAUACUCUUGUCGCGACCGCGGGGCGACUCGAGGAUUUUCUCAACCGUGGAGUAUUUUACUUCUCGACGGCCAGGUUUUUAAUUUUGGACGAAGCUGAUCGAAUGCUUUAUGGUUUUCGGUCCCGAUAUUGAAAAACUUGUCAGCCAUCCAACGAUGCCUACGAAAGGAAUCCGUCGUGUUUGUAUGUUUACGGUUUCACUGGCGCCCAAGUCGGAAAAUUGCCUUGUCUGGAAAUUUCGCAAAGUGUGACGGCGUUUGGCAGAACUAUGAUUGAGAAAACAAGAGAGGAUGUGGAGUCUAAAUUUUGCGUCGAGAAUGGCUAUGCCCAUGACGCCAAAGUAAUCUAUGGUAACACAGAUUCCGUAAUGGUGAAAUUCGGUGUACCCACGGUGGCCGAAGCCAUGGAAUUAGGCCGAGAAGCUGCCGCAUUUGUGUCGGCAAAAUUUGUCAAACCCAUUAAUUUCGAAUUGGCAAAAGUCUAUUACCCCUAUUGAUCAACAAAAAGAGGUAUGCAGGAUUGUAUUGGACCAAACCUGAAAAUUUUGACAAAAUGGAUUGUAAAGAUACAGAAACCGUUCGUCGUGAUAAUUGCCAAUUCGUUGCCAAUCUUAUCAAUAGCUGUCUGCAGAAAAUUUUGAUGGAGCGAGACCAGGAUGGAGCCUUAGAAUACGCCAAACAAACAACUUCCGACUUGCUGUGCAACAAAGUCGAUAUCUCACUUCUGGUGAUUACCAAGGAGCUGAAUAAAACAGAUACAGACUACGCCAGCAAACAGGCACCUGUGGAACUAGCUCACAAGAUGCGUAAGCGAGAUGCUGGUACAACCCCAAAAUUAGGGGAUCGAGUUCCGUAUAUCAUUAUCGCAGCUGCUAAAAACGAACCUCAAGGCGGAAGACCCGAUUUUUGUCCUGGAACACAGCGUACCUAUUGAUGCCCAAUACUAUCUGGAAAAUCAGCUUUCAAAACCCUUUGUUUGGAUUUUUGAACCCAUACUUGGAUCUAAAGCGGAAUCAUUGUUGCUACAUAAACACGGACUCAUCGCACUUAUUUGCUUGACAUAAUUGAACCGUUUGUAUUCCGUAUUGUAGAUGGUUACCAUACCCGGACGCCUUCAGUUGUUACUUCAAAAAUUGGUGGAUUGGCUAGCUUUACCACAUGCAAAUCCACCUGUGUUGGAUGCAAAACCGUUCUUCCAGACGAUAGUGCUGUAUGCAAAUUUUGCAAGCCGAAAGAAUCGGAGUUCUACCAGAGGGAAACUGGCCAACUUUAUGCUCUCGGAAUAGAAGUUUAAUCGUUUAUGGACAGAAUGUCAACGGUGCCAUGGAAAUCUCAACGAAGAGAUUCUUUGUUCCAACCGAGAUUGCCCCAUCUUUUACAUGAGGACAAAAGUUAGAAAAGAUCUCACGGAACAGGAUAAACUUAUGAAAAGAUUCGGCCUACCCUGACAACCUACCGCUCUCGUCAAUGAUGGUGCAUACAGUCUCGUAGGGGGCUAGUCGCUAGGUGGCCCAGGUGCUGUGCUGAGCUAAGCUGCUGAUGGCAACAUGUAACAUGGCGUCGUAGCGGCUGGUUAUAUCACGGCAGCCGAACGUGGCAGACCUUCCUUUUUGUAGGUGAAAUUCAAGGGAGGAACUGCAAAUGCUCGCCGCCAUCUUGUACGAACAAUGUGGUCUGGCGAAUACGUUGCCAAGGUGACCAUGCAUUACCUUCGAGUGUAUUUAAGUUGCAAGUCGGUAGAUUUGUUCCUCAGUUUCCCGGAUACCAGCAUCCUGCUUCGCGAGAACUACUCUACGUUGUUCUGGGGGGCUUAGACGAACAUCUGAAUCCGAUUUUGAAGAAGUCUUGCAUCGAUGGACACUGACAAAAUAUAGGAAGCUGCACAUGAAUAUUGGGUAUUUUAUCGCAGAUUCGUAAUUAUAAAGAAUUGGGAAAAGAAAAUUGACGGAGGCUCAGUACCAAAAAAAUUAUGGUAGUUGGAAUGAUUACCGAAGCUCUUCGGAUUCGUUUAUUUCACGCGUUAUGGUAUUUAAAGAAAAUAAACGGGUACCUGGGCCCCUUUGUAUCUGUGACCCGAUUUCCUCUUCACUUGUGAUAAUUCUGCAGCGGGUCAUGCAGGUAUUGUGAUCAACAGAGAAGGUUAGAAGUGCGCUGCCCGGAAAGCAAAUUUGGGGUAAAAGAAAAAAACUUAUUCCAACUAGUAAGCCAUUUCCAAAUUCAACCAACAAAAAGGUACACAGUGAGAUUUGCUUAACAAUUUGUUUCUUUAAUUGAUUUUAAAAUUAGGAAAAGGUGGAAGGAAAAACUUUGUUCUCUAGUAGUUUUUUAGUUAAAAUCCUUUUUGUGCAAAUUCAUUUUUGAAAUUGUUUACUUCAUUGUCGAAUGGCUCCGUUCACAUUUGUUGUUCAUGUGAGAUGUUAUAUUUACCAGUUACUGCAUUAUAUUUACCACUUUUGCAAGAUGUUUGUACAGGAAUUACUACUGUUUUGUUUAUCUGGAAUGUUGUGUGGGAGUCCAUCAGGAAUUGCUGGUCUGCAGUAAAUUUGUCAGGCUAGGUGAUGAAUAUCAAUGAAUCAGAAAAUGUUUUGCAUGGGUAGUGAAUGUUCUGACAGUAUUAACAGUUGUGAUGUGGUGUAUUUCACUUCCACGCAUCAUAGUCUUAUCUAUCAGUUGAAUUGUGUGGUCAAUUUUCUGUUCGUGUAACCUCAUUUCCUCUUGACUCAUCUGGUAGAAGUUGGUGACCUGAUACAAUGAACAUGGAAAAAUCACCUGCGCCCACGUUGACGACGAUACCUGUACCGAAGUGCAGGAAACUAAAAUUAAAUUUUCUUUACAAUUUGGUUUCAGGCUACCUUUAUAAUUUUUUAAUAGUUUUGCGUUUAUUGACGAGUCCGCAAGCUCUUAGCUGAUUUCCUCCUUUAGAUACCGCCUGUCGACGAUUUGACAGCCUCACACAAUUAAAGAACGUAUGCCAAAAAGCCAAAGUGAGCUCUUCCGAGCAGAAAAGUGACGGCGUAUCCAUUUAAUUGACAAUAGGCACAAGAUAACGCACAAUUAGCGUCCUUGUCUCAAUGGAGAAAUUUUGCCGUGGAACUUGUAAUCGAAAUACCAUUGCAGCUGUUAAAAAUAAGAAAAGUGUAUUAGCAUACAGAUGUUGACUAGCUAACAAUCCAGAGAUACGUCAACUUGCGAAAUUUCUAGAUGUGUGUGAAGCGCAAUCAG